Molecule: long non-coding RNA, 214 nt
Organism: Malus domestica (apple)
Lineage: Eukaryota; Viridiplantae; Streptophyta; Magnoliopsida; Rosales; Rosaceae
Source: RefSeq, a predicted model, not a curated record
GCUGCCCUUUGGGCAGCUCGCAGAAGGACGAAGAAAAGAGAAUAGGGGAGAGAUAGGAGGGACUGUCAGCGAGACAGUCAGAGGAAGGAACGGGGCGCAAAGGGUCAGGAGGAAAUGUGAGGCGCGGACAGAGGAGAAAAGAAAAGCUGCCUUUGCAGCUGAGCAGCGCACGGGAUUGGAGGAGAGGCAGGUCAGAGGUCAGCACGUACUGACA